UCCAGGGUAGCUUAGUGGACAUGGCAUCUGCCCGGUAAGCGGAACACUGUGGGUUCGAUUCCCAUCCCUGAAA
This is a non-coding RNA of Cordylochernes scorpioides, 73 nucleotides long. NCBI's taxonomy places the organism in Eukaryota, Metazoa, Arthropoda, Arachnida, Pseudoscorpiones, Chernetidae. The record is from the annotation of a GenBank genome assembly.